GCAUCCUUCUUUUUAUUGGAUAGGACAGAGGUCUUCUAAACCUUUGGUAUAGGUUCAAAUCCUAUUGGACGCA
RNAcentral lists this transfer RNA (73 nucleotides) under Dendrobium chrysotoxum. RNAcentral describes it as "tRNA-Arg". It matches the Rfam family "tRNA". Rfam says of the family: Transfer RNA (tRNA) molecules are approximately 80 nucleotides in length. Their secondary structure includes four short double-helical elements and three loops (D, anti-codon, and T loops). Lineage: Eukaryota; Viridiplantae; Streptophyta; Magnoliopsida; Asparagales; Orchidaceae. The record is from RNAcentral.